RNAcentral lists this ribosomal RNA (253 nucleotides) under uncultured bacterium. RNAcentral describes it as "partial 16S ribosomal RNA". It matches the Rfam family "Bacterial small subunit ribosomal RNA", at positions 524 to 776 of the family's 1533-position model. The record is from RNAcentral.
UACGGAGGGAGCAAGCGUUGUUCGGAAUUACUGGGCGUAAAGGGCGUGUAGGCGGCCUUGUAAGUCGGGGGUGAAAUCCACUGGCUCAACCAGUGACGUGCCUUCGAAACUGCUUGGCUUGAGUAUGGCAGAGGAGAGCGGAAUUCCAGGUGUAGCGGUGAAAUGCGUAGAUAUCUGGAAGAACACCGGUGGCGUAGGCGGCUCUCUGGGCCAAUACUGACGCUGAGGCGCGAAAGCUAGGGGAGCGAACGGG